This 371-nucleotide ribosomal RNA is filed under the name uncultured organism. Its description in RNAcentral is "bacterial SSU rRNA". It matches the Rfam family "Bacterial small subunit ribosomal RNA", at positions 526 to 896 of the family's 1533-position model. The record is from RNAcentral.
CGUAGGUGGCAAGCGUUGUCCGGAAUUAUUGGGCGUAAAGCGCGCGCAGGCGGUCUUUUAAGCUGAUGUGAAAGCCCCCGGCUCAACCGGGGAGGGUCAUUGGAAACUGGAGGACUUGAGUGCAGAAGAGAAGAGCGGAAUUCCACGUGUAGCGGUGAAAUGCGUAGAGAUGUGGAGGAACACCAGUGGCGAAGGCGGCUCUUUGGUCUGUAACUGACGCUGAGGCGCGAAAGCGUGGGGAGCAAACAGGAUUAGAUACCCUGGUAGUCCACGCCGUAAACGAUGAGUGCUAAGUGUUAGAGGGUUUCCGCCCUCUAGUGCUGCAGCUAACGCAUUAAGCACUCCGCCUGGGGAGUACGGCCGCAAGGCUG